Molecule: ribosomal RNA, 296 nt
Filed under: uncultured bacterium
Lineage: Bacteria
Description: partial 16S ribosomal RNA
Rfam family: Bacterial small subunit ribosomal RNA
Source: RNAcentral
GGAUUAGAUACCCUGGUAGUCCUAGCUGUAAACGAUGGAUACUAGACGUAGGAACUGGAUUGACGGUUUCUGUGUCGUAGCUAACGCGUUAAGUAUCCCGCCUGGGGAGUACGGUCGCAAGACUAAAACUCAAAUGAAUUGACGGGGACCCGCACAAGCGGUGGAGCAUGUGGUUUAAUUCGAUGCAACGCGAAAAACCUUACCUACACUUGACAUACUUCGAAUUUUCUAGAGAUAGAUUAGUGCCUUCGGGAACGGAGAUACAGGUGCUGCAUGGCUGUCGUCAGCUCGUGCUG